CGGAACAUAGCUCAGUAGUGCAGAGCAACUGGCUUAUAUCCAGCGUGUCGGUGGUUCAAUCCCAUCUGUUCCGA
Molecule: transfer RNA, 74 nt
Filed under: Caudoviricetes sp.
Lineage: Duplodnaviria; Heunggongvirae; Uroviricota; Caudoviricetes
Description: tRNA-Ile
Rfam family: tRNA
About the family: Transfer RNA (tRNA) molecules are approximately 80 nucleotides in length. Their secondary structure includes four short double-helical elements and three loops (D, anti-codon, and T loops). Further hydrogen bonds mediate the characteristic L-shaped molecular structure. tRNAs have two regions of fundamental functional importance: the anti-codon, which is responsible for specific mRNA codon recognition, and the 3' end, to which the tRNAs corresponding amino acid is attached (by aminoacyl-tRNA synthetases). tRNAs cope with the degeneracy of the genetic code in two manners: having more than one tRNA (with a specific anti-codon) for a particular amino acid; and 'wobble' base-pairing, i.e. permitting non-standard base-pairing at the 3rd anti-codon position.
Source: RNAcentral